RNAcentral lists this ribosomal RNA (484 nucleotides) under uncultured bacterium. RNAcentral's name for it is "partial 16S ribosomal RNA". It matches the Rfam family "Bacterial small subunit ribosomal RNA", at positions 29 to 507 of the family's 1533-position model. The record is from RNAcentral.
AUUGAACGCUGGCGGCAUGCUUUACACAUGCAAGUCGAACGGCAGCGCGGGCUUCGGCCUGGCGGCGAGUGGCGAACGGGUGAGUAAUACAUCGGAACGUGCCCAGUAGUGGGGGAUAGCUCGGCGAAAGCCGGAUUAAUACCGCAUACGACCCGAGGGUGAAAGCGGGGGAUCUUCGGACCUCGCGCUAUUGGAGCGGCCGAUGGCAGAUUAGCUAGUUGGUGGGGUAAAGGCCUACCAAGGCGACGAUCUGUAGCUGGUCUGAGAGGACGACCAGCCACACUGGGACUGAGCCACGGCCCAGACUCCUACGGGAGGCAGCAGUGGGGAAUUUUGGACAGUGGGCGAAAGCCUGAUCCAGCAAUGCCGCGUGUGUGAUGAAGGCCUUCGGGUUGUAAAGCACUUUUGGCGGGAACGAAAAGGACUGUGCCAAUACCACGGUUCGAUGACGGUACCCGCAGAAUAAGCACCGGCUAACUACGUG